AGCGAACGCUGGCGACAGGCUUAACACAUGCAAGUCGAGCGGGCACUUUCGGGUGUCAGCGGCGGACGGGUGAGUAACGCGUGGGAACGUGCCCUCUGGUUCGGAAUAACUCAGGGAAACUUGAGCUAAUACCGGAUACGCCCUUUUGGGGAAAGGCUUGCUGCCGGAGGAUCGGCCCGCGUCUGAUUAGCUAGUUGGUGAGGUAACGGCUCACCAAGGCGACGAUCAGUAGCUGGUCUGAGAGGAUGAUCAGCCACACUGGGACUAAGACACGGCCCAGACUCCUACGGGAGGCAGCAGUGGGGAAUAUUAGACAAUGGGCGCAAGCCUGAUACAGCCAUGCCGCGGGAGUGAGGAAGGCCUUAGUGUUGUAAAGCUCUUUUAUCCGGGACGAUAAUGACGGUACCGGAGAAAUAAGCCCCGGCUAACUUCGUG
This 435-nucleotide ribosomal RNA is filed under the name uncultured bacterium. RNAcentral describes it as "partial 16S ribosomal RNA". It matches the Rfam family "Bacterial small subunit ribosomal RNA", at positions 29 to 507 of the family's 1533-position model. The record is from RNAcentral.